GAUGAACGCUAGCGGCAGGCCUAAUACAUGCAAGUCAAGGGGUUCAGCAAUGGACACCGGCGGACGGGUGCGUAACGCGUACACAACGUACCUCUGACUGGGGGAUAGCAUUGGGAAACUGGUGGUAAUACCCCAUAGCAUUGCGGAUUGGCAUUAAUCUGCAAUUAAAGUUUCGGCGGUCAGAGAUCGGUGUGCGUCCGAUUAGCUAGUUGGCGGGGUAACGGCCCACCAAGGCUACGAUCGGUAGGGGGUGUGAGAGCAUGACCCCCCACAUGGGUACUGAGACACGGACCCAACUCCUACGGGAGGCUG
This 312-nucleotide ribosomal RNA is filed under the name uncultured Bacteroidota bacterium. RNAcentral describes it as "bacterial SSU rRNA". It matches the Rfam family "Bacterial small subunit ribosomal RNA", at positions 28 to 351 of the family's 1533-position model. Lineage: Bacteria; Pseudomonadati; Bacteroidota. The record is from RNAcentral.